AGAACGAACGCUGGCGGCAGGCCUCAAACAUGCAAGUCUAGGGGAUAGCAAUAUCACCGGCGGACGGGUGCGUAACGCGUGGGAAUGUACCUAUUGGUUCGGAACAACACAGGGAAACUUGUGCUAAUACCGAAUGUGCCCGUAAGGGGAAAGAUUUAUCGCCAAUAGAUCAGCCCGCGUUCGAUUAGCUAGUUGGUGAGGUAAUGGCUCACCAAGGCGACGAUCGAUAGCUGUUCUGAGAGGAAGAUCAGCCACACUGGGACUGAGACACGGCCCAGACUCCUACGGGAGGCAGCAGUUGGGAAUCUUGGACAAUGGGGGAAACCCUGAUCCAGCCAUGCCGCGUGAGUGAUGAAGGCCUUCGGGUUGUAAACUCUUUCGCGCACGACGAUAAUGACGGUAGUGCGAGAAGAAGCUCCGGCUAACUCGCGCCAGCAGCCGC
This 442-nucleotide ribosomal RNA is filed under the name uncultured bacterium. RNAcentral describes it as "SSU rRNA". It matches the Rfam family "Bacterial small subunit ribosomal RNA", at positions 26 to 518 of the family's 1533-position model. The record is from RNAcentral.